This 320-nucleotide ribosomal RNA is filed under the name uncultured Prevotella sp. RNAcentral's name for it is "partial 16S ribosomal RNA". Lineage: Bacteria; Pseudomonadati; Bacteroidota; Bacteroidia; Bacteroidales; Prevotellaceae. The record is from RNAcentral.
GGAGUUUGGACCGUGUCUCAGUUCCAAUGUGGGGGACCUUCCUCUCAGAACCCCUACUGAUCGUCGCCUUGGUGGGCCGUUACCCCGCCAACUAGCUAAUCAGACGCAUCCUCAUCCAUUGCCGAUGAAUCUUUGCUUGACGUUAGAUGUCUGCUGUCAAGAACAUAGGGAAUUAAUCCGACUUUCGCCGGGCUGUGCCCUACUACGGGGAAGGUUGGAUACGCGUUACUCACCCGUGCGCCGGUCGCCAUCACAGAUAGCAAGCUACCUGCAUGCUGCCCCUCGACUUGCAUGUGUUAAGCCUGUAGCUAGCGUUCAUC